GUGCUCCUUCAGCAGCACAUAUACAGAGAAGAUUAGCAUAGCCCCUGCACAAGGAUGACACACAAAUUCGGGAAGUUUCCAUAUAUUU
RNAcentral lists this small nuclear RNA (88 nucleotides) under Castor canadensis (American beaver). Lineage: Eukaryota; Metazoa; Chordata; Mammalia; Rodentia; Castoridae. The record is from RNAcentral.